RNAcentral lists this unclassified non-coding RNA (229 nucleotides) under plant metagenome. RNAcentral's name for it is "partial contains small subunit ribosomal RNA, internal transcribed spacer 1, and 5.8S ribosomal RNA". The record is from RNAcentral.
UCUCCGUAGGUGAACCUGCGGAGGGAUCAUUACAGAGUUCAUGCCUUACCGGGUAGAUCUCCCACCCUAUGUUAUUAUUACUUUGUUGCUUUGGCGGGCCGUUAGGCUCCGGCCCGACUACCGGCCCCGGCUGGUAAGCGCCCGCCAGAGGACCCAAAACCCUGAAUAUUAGUGUCGUCUUAGUACUAUAUAAUAGUUAAAACCUUCAACAACGGAUCUCUUGGUUCUG